GACGAACGCUGGCGGCGUGCUUAACACAUGCAAGUCGAACGGAAAGGCCCUGCUUUUGUGGGGUGCUCGAGUGGCGAACGGGUGAGUAACACGUGAGUAACCUGCCCUUGACUUUGGGAUAACUUCAGGAAACUGGGGCUAAUACCGGAUAGGAGCUCCUGCUGCAUGGUGGGGGUUGGAAAGUUUCGGCGGUUGGGGAUGGACUCGCGGCUUAUCAGCUUGUUGGUGGGGUAGUGGCUUACCAAGGCUUUGACGGGUAGCCGGCCUGAGAGGGUGACCGGCCACAUUGGGGCUUAGAAACGGGCCAGACUCCUACGGGAGGCAGCAGGGGGGAAUAUUGCACAAUGGGUGGGAGCCUGGUUCAACAACGCCGGGUGCCGGGUGACGGCCUUCGGGGUGGAAACCGCUUUCGCUCAGGGCGGAGGUUUGUGUGACGGUAGUGGGUAAAGAAGCACCGGCUAACUACGUG
RNAcentral lists this ribosomal RNA (469 nucleotides) under uncultured bacterium. RNAcentral describes it as "partial 16S ribosomal RNA". It matches the Rfam family "Bacterial small subunit ribosomal RNA", at positions 28 to 507 of the family's 1533-position model. The record is from RNAcentral.